Aethalodelphis obliquidens (Pacific white-sided dolphin) is the source of this 4221-nucleotide long non-coding RNA. RefSeq lists it as uncharacterized. The record is from RefSeq and is a predicted model, not a curated record. The transcript is spliced from 10 exons. NCBI's taxonomy places the organism in Eukaryota, Metazoa, Chordata, Mammalia, Artiodactyla, Delphinidae.
CGCCUUGGCAACGGCGGCGGGGCUGGGAAAACCGUGGCCGGGGCUUGCGGGGCCUAUGGAUCUACGCCCGGCGGCGCGUGGCAGCGGUUUCUAAGCCCGCGCUGCAGCCUCGGGCUUCGGCGCGCCGCCGGGCUCCCGCUCGCGCCCCCUGCGGCCGGCGCGCGGGCCCGAGCCUCUGGCUCGCUGGAGGAACCCGCACGGACGCUGCUCCGCCCUGUAAGGCCUCGACCAAAAUGGCCUAUGUUGAGUGAUGGUCUCAUUGGACAGUUUUGGAGGUUCCACCGAGAUUGAAGACCCUCAUUUGGCAGCAUUCCAGGGAAGCCUGAGGCCAACAGGUGACUGAUAAUCUUCCAGAAGUAAUGAUGCACGAAGAUUGGUGUGUUUGGAGCCAAAUCUAUCCAAAGAUGCAUUUUUGGAUGAAAAGUAGAGAUGAGGAAAGAAAGCGCAGAGAAAUGACAAGACUUCCUCAAAUCGACGUAACAUGCUAUCAGUCUAGGUCUGAAUCCUGUGCCCCAUCAGUAUCCAAGAAGAUGCUUUGGGAUUUUAAUUGGAUAUUAAUUAAUAAUUUGGAUUGGAAGUGUUCUCUUAUCAAGACAGAGAAGGCAAGACUGAAAGCCUCCUCUGAAGUUAGGAAAACAGACAGUCUCAGGCGAGUUGUCUCCAGCAUGAUAAACACAAGCUUCAGUCUGAAUGAGGCCAUCAUAAGGACCUCCAUCAUGCGAGCAGUUAGAAUACAGAUAUGAUGGUUGGAGAUCCAGCAGCUAUCUUGGCCAAUGAGGCAGCUUUGAGAAUGGGAGCUUUUGCUAAGGAAGGUAGAACACAAAGAUAGAAGACAACCAGGUUACUGAUGACUAUGGAGGCUCCAUAUCAGCCUUGGAUUGCCUGGCUUGGGACGUCUAUGGGCGAGAAAAAUUCAGAUCAAUAUCCCUGAGGGAAGGGAGGAAUAGGUGAAGUUCAAGAAAUAGCUGAAGGCGGGUUGCCUGAUGUGGAGGCAAGGACCCAGUGUCGGUCCCGGGGCUGUGCAUGGCGGGGAAGGUGCAUCUCCGCAGCGUCGUGGCAAGUCUUCCAGACCUGUCUGCAGCUCUUCCUGUAACCAAGAGGCCUUUUCCUGUGUUUGAACUCACCACCAAUGGCUGUCCUACCAAAGCUCCUUUGUGCAGGCCGCCUUCUGUUCACCGACAGCUGCUUUGAGCGUCCGUCAGAGCAGCUCAUCUGCCAGGCUGUGCGCCUCUGGUCACAUCGCUCUGAGGCCUCCUGUUUGUCAGCUUCAAAGUGCCUCACAAGUGGUGACUUGCCUCCUUCCGGGUGGAUGUCAAAAGAAGGGGAAGCCUGGACAUACUCAUGACACCGCUGGAAUUAAGGCUGGAAGCUUCUAUCUCAUUUUGCAGAAGAAGCAAUCAGGACCAAAGAAGAGCGGUUGAAAACCACUGCCGGGCCUUGUGGCCAGGUCUUAGGGUGCUUGGAGAGAGCCUGUAAGUAGAAGAAAAGGCCUUUAUGACCACUCUGGAGGAAGACUGUGGAAAAAUGAGCCCUACUGAAUAAUGGAAACUCAUCCCUCCUGGGCCAGCUUUGAGAACGCUACCAGCUUUUCAGGAGCAGCAUGGGUGUGUGCUGGAGAAAAGGGAGCUCUGUUGGGUGAGUAUUAAGAAAUGCAGGCACAGGAUACACGUGAGGACGGUGACAGUAAGGCAAGCCGACCAAGAGGCUAGGGUGGAGCAAAGGCGGGUAGGUACUCAGGUUUGGAAUCUCUGGAGAUUGGGGGUGGGGGUGGGUACAUGGUAGAAGGUGCUGCUGUUCAAAAGUGUGACUCUUUCAUGAGCCAGCUGUUUGCGUGCCAGGCACUGCCUAUAUUCACUCUCCAGUAAACCCUUGCCACAGAGUGUAUGAGGGUGGCGCUCAGACUUUACCACCCACGACCGCUCUAGGCACCAACAUGUCCACCUGCAGCUCCUGACGGCCCUUCUCGACACAACCAGAUUUAGGCUGGACUUUACAACUCUUCAUCUGCUUCCACUCUUGCCCCUCCACAAGCCAUUCUUUGCACAGUGAGCAACACAGGCUUUCUGAAAUGCAAAUCUGAUCAUGUCCUUCUUCUGUGUAAAAUCUUUAAUGAUUUCCCAACCAUCUUAGGAUCAAGUUCAGAAUCUGAACUCGGACCCCCCAGCUGCCCGUUGCAGGAGCUGCUGCCUCCCCUCCUUGCCUGGCACAUGCCUGCUCAUUCUUCAGGUCUCAGUUUAUGUUUCAUUUUCUUAAGAAGACUUUCCCUGACCUUUUGUACAGGUUUGGUACCUGACUACACGCUCUCCUAACUCUUAGGUUUCCUUCUCAGAGCAGUGACUGCAAUUGUAAUUGUUCAGAUACCCAAGCAUGAUUUAUUUAAUUGAAAGUGUCUCUCUCUGCCAGGAAGUAAAAUUCAUAAGUGCCUUGCCCACUCCUAGCAUGGAGCCGUCUGGUCCAUGAGACAUGCUCACUAAAUGGUCGCAGAAUGCGCCUCUGUGCUGUACAUUUUUACCUUUUAUAUUAUACAGCAUGUUCUCCAAUUCUAGGGACCAGUUUUUACUGUGUGACAGGCAGUGUUUGUUAGCUUUUGGUUGAAAUAGAGCUCUGAGCCAGAAUUCCCUGGGUUUGGAAUCUUACUAAUUGUGUGAUACUGGGAAGUAGUGUAACGUCUCCAUGCUUCAGUUUCCUCAUCUGUUAAAAAAGAGGAGGAGAUAAAGGGCAACAAUAGCACCUACUUCAGAGGACUGUGGUGACGAUUAAAUAAGUUGUGACAUGUAGUAUGUUUAGAACAGUGCCUCACACAUGGUAAGUGUAUGAAAGAUUUUAGCUCCUCUUCUUCUUUACUCCUAAGAAUAUGAAAAAUAGGUGUUAUGUUAUUAUCCCCACUUGUCAGAUGAGGAAACUAGAUGCAUAAAACAGGCUUUCUUUAGUAACUUGUUUAUAAUCCUUCAUAUCAUUUUUUCAUGCUAAAAAAAAAAACUAAAAAGAAAGAAAGAAAUGAAUGUUCUCACGUUUUGGGAGUUGGGACUUGGAGGAUAUUAGGGCCUGGCAAGAUGAAGAGAAUAAAUCAAAGAAACAAAGGAAGUUUCAAAGCUGUUUCAGGCCCAGGACUUGGCCCUCUCCUUGCACGUUAGUCUAAUGCGUGAGAAGCCUACACGAGGGAGGGGAGACCCAACUGGCACAGAGUCUGGAAGGGAGUUGGCGAGUCCAUGGAGAGUGACUCAGAGCAGCAGGGACCAGCAUCUCCAGGUCAUAGCAGGAAGUGAGAGCCGUGGCUCCCAAUCCGUUCUGAAACGACUCAGGAACUCUGCCAGGGUCUCCAAAGGCAUCACCAUGUCCUCAAACCAAAUCCACUUGAAUUAAAGAAAAAAAAAAACUAUGCCAUGCGUCCCAUGUGAGAGGAAGUAGGUGCAAAGAAACCAAACAAAAGGUUGUGAAUCACUGGAGUGGACAAUCUUCCUGGAGAGAGGGGAGUCCUGCACCAGGCUUUAAAAAGACAUCUGGCAGCGACAGGAAUAUUCCUGGCAGCCUGUUGUUAAUGGCCCCGAAAUAGAAACAACCCAAAUAUCAUCUUCAGUAGAGUGGAUAUGUAAAUUGUGGUACAGUCACAGAAUGAAGUAUUCUCCAGCGAUGACAGUGAUUGAACCAUAAGUACACUCAACAGUAGGGGCGAAUCUCACAAACAUAACACAAAACAGAAAGUACAAUUUGCUGCCAUUUGUUAUGUAAACCAGGUAAUAUCAUCUACGUCAGGUUCGAGAAUUUAGGGCCAUGUGACCCUUGAGGAGAGGUAGAAGGCUGGAGGGCCACAGGGUGUCUCCUCUUAGGUUUCUGUUAUUCAGAUGUGUUGGUUUUAUAAAAAUUCACUGAUGUAUACACUUACUUUUUUGUGCACUGCUCUGAACAUAUGUUAUAUUUCAAUUCAUUCUUCACUUCCCCGCCCUCCAUGGCCAGGGGUCAAAUUAGUCCUGGGUGAACACAUAGCCCUAGAGCUCUGGAUAUUCAGAAGUGGGAGACGUACCGUUUAGGAUGCUUCAGAAGUGGGAAGCGUUCUGAGUAGAGCUAAUGUUUCUGCAGUGCUGGUUCUGAGUCUUGGGUCACUGCUUUUGCCUCACUGAAUUUUAACCUUGGUGUUUCUCCUUGUCCCCUGAUCUUGUAGCCCUCUCUUUCUAAUCAAAUGAUCUCUAUAAUAUCGAGUGCAAUGUGGAGCUCACCUGUUGG